UUGGAGGGCAAGUCUGGUGCCAGCAGCCGCGGUAAUUCCAGCUCCAAUAGCGUAUAUUAAAGUUGUUGCAGUUAAAAAGCUCGUAGUUGAAUUUCGGGGUUCCACCGUUGGUCGGGCUAUUGUUUGUACUGGCGUGUGGAAUUUCUACCUUCUGGGGAACUAUCAUGUUAUUAAUUUAGCGUGGUAGGAAACCAGGACCUUUACCUUGAAAAAAUUAGAGUGUUCAAAGCAGGCUUAUGUCUGAAUACAUUAGCAUGGAAUAAUAAAAUAGGACGGUGGUCCUGUUUUGUUGGUUUCUGAAUCACCGUAAUGAUUAAUAGGGAUAGUUGGGGGCAUUAGUAUUCAAUUGUCAGAGGUGAAAUUCUUGGAUUUAUUGAAGACUAACUACUGCGAAAGCAUUUGCCAAGGAUGUUUUCAUUAAUCAAGAACGAAAGUUAGGGGAUCGAAGACGAUCAGAUACCGUCGUAGUCUUAACCAUAAACUAUGCCGACUAGGGAUCGGACGAUGUUAACUUUUCUUGACUCGUUCGGCGCCUUACGGGAAA
This 544-nucleotide ribosomal RNA is filed under the name uncultured Glomeromycotina. RNAcentral's name for it is "SSU rRNA". It matches the Rfam family "Eukaryotic small subunit ribosomal RNA", at positions 548 to 1097 of the family's 1831-position model. Lineage: Eukaryota; Fungi; Glomeromycota. The record is from RNAcentral.